This 35-nucleotide transfer RNA is filed under the name Trianaea aff. nobilis GAW-2016. RNAcentral's name for it is "partial tRNA-Thr". The record is from RNAcentral. Lineage: Eukaryota; Viridiplantae; Streptophyta; Magnoliopsida; Solanales; Solanaceae.
CACAUCACAGAAAUCUUAUAUGCAUAGUAAUUGAC